Molecule: ribosomal RNA, 495 nt
Filed under: uncultured bacterium
Lineage: Bacteria
Description: partial 16S ribosomal RNA
Rfam family: Bacterial small subunit ribosomal RNA
Source: RNAcentral
UGAACGCUGGCGGCGUGCCUCAUACAUGCAAGUCGAGCGAACGGACGAGAAGCUUGCUUCUCUGAUGUUAGCGGCAGACGGGUGAGUAACACGUGGAUAACCUACCUAUAAGACUGGGAUAACUUCGGGAAACCGGAGCUAAUACCGGAUAAUAUUUUGAACCGCAUGGUUCAAAAGUGAAAGACGGUCUUGCUGUCACUUAUAGAUGGAUCCGCGCUGCAUUAGCUAGUUGGUAAGGUAACGGCUUACCAAGGCAACGAUGCAUAGCCGACCUGAGAGGGUGAUCGGCCACACUGGAACUGAGACACGGUCCAGACUCCUACGGGAGGCAGCAGUAGGGAAUCUUCCGCAAUGGGCGAAAGCCUGACUGAGCAACGCCGCGUGAGUGAUGAAGGUCUUCGGAUCGUAAAACUCUGUUAUUAGGGAAGAACAUAUGUGUAAGUAACUGUGCACAUCUUGACGGUACCUAAUCAGAAAGCCACGGCUAACUACGUG